UACGGCCAUUUCACGUUAAAACACCAGUUCACGUACGAUCAGUGUAGUUAAGCAACAUUAAGCCUAGUUAGUACUGAGAUGGGUAACCGUUUGAGAAAUCCUGAGGCUGUAAGC
Molecule: non-coding RNA, 114 nt
Organism: Acanthosepion pharaonis
Lineage: Eukaryota; Metazoa; Mollusca; Cephalopoda; Sepiida; Sepiidae
Source: the annotation of a GenBank genome assembly